Molecule: ribosomal RNA, 415 nt
Filed under: uncultured prokaryote
Description: bacterial SSU rRNA
Rfam family: Bacterial small subunit ribosomal RNA
Source: RNAcentral
UGAGGAAUUUUGCGCAAUGGGGGGAACCCUGACGCAGCAACGCCGCGUGGGUGAUGAAGGCCUUCGGGUCGUAAAGCCCUGUCGGGCGGGAAGAACGUCCCUUCGGGGAAUGACGGUACCGCCAGAGGAAGCACCGGCUAACUCCGUGCCAGCAGCCGCGGUAAUACGGAGGGUGCAAGCGUUCUUCGGAAUUACUGGGCGUAAAGGGCGUGCAGGCGGGAGAGCACGUCUGAUGUGAAAGCCCGGGGCUUAACCCCGGAAGGGCAUUGGAAACUGCUUGUCUUGAGGUCUGGAGAGGAAGGGAGAAUUCCCGUUGUAGAGGUGAAAUUCGUAGAGAUCGGGAGGAACAUCAGUGGCGAAGGCGCCCUUCUGGACAGCAACUGACGCUGAGACGCGAAAGCGUGGGGAGCAAACA